UCUUAUCAAGAGUGGUUAAGGGACUGGCCCUAUGAUACCCGGCAACCAGAUAUACAUUUAGUUCGUACAUCUAGGUGCUAAUUCCAGCAGGUAUAUCCUGAAAGAUGAGG
Molecule: non-coding RNA, 110 nt
Filed under: uncultured Clostridium sp.
Lineage: Bacteria; Bacillati; Bacillota; Clostridia; Eubacteriales; Clostridiaceae
Description: SAM riboswitch (S box leader)
Rfam family: SAM riboswitch aptamer (S box leader)
About the family: The SAM riboswitch is found upstream of a number of genes which code for proteins involved in methionine or cysteine biosynthesis in Gram-positive bacteria. The SAM riboswitch acts at the level of transcription termination control.
Source: RNAcentral